Molecule: ribosomal RNA, 466 nt
Filed under: uncultured bacterium
Lineage: Bacteria
Description: bacterial SSU rRNA
Rfam family: Bacterial small subunit ribosomal RNA
Source: RNAcentral
AGUGAACGCUGGCGGCAGGCCUAAUACAUGCAAGUCGAACGGCAGCACAGCAGAGCUUGCUCUGUGGGUGGCGAGUGGCGGACGGGUGAGGAAUACAUGGGAAUCUGCCCAGUCGUGGGGGAUAACGUAGGGAAACUUACGCUAAUACCGCAUGCGCCCUUCGGGGGAAAGCCGGGGACCUUCGGGCCUGGCGCGAUUGGAUGAGCCCAUGUCGGAUUAGCUAGUUGGCGGGGUAAAGGCUCACCAAGGCGACGAUCUGUAGCGGGUCUGAGAGGAUGAUCCGCCACACUGGAACUGAGACACGGCCCAGACUCCUACGGGAGGCAGCAGUGGGGAAUUUUGGACAAUGGGCGAAAGCCUGAUCCAGCCAUGCCGCGUGGAGGAAGAAGUCCUUCGGGGCGUAAACUCCUGGACUGGGGGACGAGUAAGGACGGUACCCCAGUAGAAAGGGACGGCUAACUACGUG